UUUAGCCAUAUCACCCUGCAGCCCAAGACUGGUUGCCCACUGAAGCUAAGCAGGGCUGAGCCUGGUCGGUACCUGGAUGGGAGACCUCCUGGGAAAACUAGGUUGCUGUUGGAA
Molecule: ribosomal RNA, 114 nt
Filed under: Sinocyclocheilus grahami
Lineage: Eukaryota; Metazoa; Chordata; Actinopteri; Cypriniformes; Cyprinidae
Source: RNAcentral